AAAAAGCUCGUAGUUGGAUUUCUGUCGAAGACGGUCGGUCCGCUCUAUGAGCGUGUAUCUGAUUCGGCUUUGGCAUCCUCGUGGGGAACGCAACUGUGCUUGACUGCAUGGUGCGGAAUUCACGACUUUUACUUUGAGGAAAUUAGAGUGUUCACGGCAGGCAAGCGCCUUGAAUAUAUUAGCAUGGAAUAAUACUAUAGGACUUUGGUUCUAUUUUGUUGGUUUCUAGGACUAAAGUAAUGAUUAAUAGGGAUAAUUGGGGGCAUUUGUAUUAACGCGUCAGAGGUGGAAUUCUUGGAUUGCGUUACGACAAACUACUGCGAAAGCAUUUGCCAAGGAUGUUUUCAUUGAUCAAGAACGAAAGUAUGGGGAUCGAAGAUGAUUAGAUACCGUCGUAGUCUAUACCAUAAACUAUGCCGACUAGAGAUUGGAGGUCGUUCUUUCCAUGACUCCUUCAGCACCUUAUGAGAAAUCAAAAGUCUUUGGGUUUCCGGGGGGGAGUAUGGUCGCAAAGGCUGAAACU
This 523-nucleotide ribosomal RNA is filed under the name uncultured marine eukaryote. RNAcentral describes it as "SSU rRNA". It matches the Rfam family "Eukaryotic small subunit ribosomal RNA", at positions 621 to 1144 of the family's 1831-position model. The record is from RNAcentral.